CUCACAAGAUCUGAUGGGUUUAUAAGGGGUGUCUGCCUUUGCUUCUUCCUCAUUUUCUCUUGCUGCUGCCAUGUAAGAAGAACUUUUCACCUCCUGCCAUGAUUCUGAGGCCUCCCCAGCCAUGUGGAAGUAGUCAUAAUGGUGAAGAGGAUGGUGACAUCCAAGGACAACCACAGGGCCUCUCUCCUGACACUGGUGAGAACCAGAUUCCUUUCCCUGGUUCUGUAGCUCCCAGCAGAGUUUUGGAAGCUGAUUAAAGAGAAUGUUGGAAAUAACAGGCAAUUAGAAACCUUAUUAAAAAAAGGAAAAACACUCUCAU
RNAcentral lists this long non-coding RNA (319 nucleotides) under Homo sapiens (human). Its description in RNAcentral is "HSALNT0311997". Lineage: Eukaryota; Metazoa; Chordata; Mammalia; Primates; Hominidae. The record is from RNAcentral.